This 497-nucleotide ribosomal RNA is filed under the name uncultured bacterium. RNAcentral describes it as "partial 16S ribosomal RNA". It matches the Rfam family "Bacterial small subunit ribosomal RNA", at positions 28 to 507 of the family's 1533-position model. The record is from RNAcentral.
GAUGAACGCUGGCGGCGUGCCUAAUACAUGCAAGUCGAGCGAACGGACGAGAAGCUUGCUUCUCUGAUGUUAGCGGCGGACGGGUAAGUAACACGUGGAUAACCUACCUAUAAGACUGGGAUAACUUCGGGAAACCGGAGCUAAUACCGGAUAAUAUUUUGAACCGCAUGGUUCAAAAGUGAAAGACGGUCUUGCUGUCACUUAUAGAUGGAUCUGAGCUGCAUUAGCUAGUUGGUAAGGUAACGGCUUACGAAGGCAACGAUGCAUAGCCGACGUGAGAGGGUGAUCGGCCGCAUUGGAACUGAGACACGGUCCAGACGCCUACGGGAGGCAGCAGUAGGGAAUCGUACGCAAUGGGCGAAAGCCUGACGGAGCAACGCCGCGUGAGUGAUGAAGAUCUUCGGAUCGUAAAACUCUGUUAUUAGGGAAGAACAUAUGUGUAAGUAACUGUGCACAUCUUGACGGUACCUAAUCAGAAAGCCACGGCUAACUACGUG